RNAcentral lists this ribosomal RNA (253 nucleotides) under uncultured bacterium. Its description in RNAcentral is "partial 16S ribosomal RNA". It matches the Rfam family "Bacterial small subunit ribosomal RNA", at positions 524 to 776 of the family's 1533-position model. The record is from RNAcentral.
UACGAAGGGGGCUAGCGUUGCUCGGAAUCACUGGGCGUAAAGCGCACGUAGGCGGAUUGUUAAGUCAGGGGUGAAAUCCUGGAGCUCAACUCCAGAACUGCCUUUGAUACUGGCGAUCUCGAGUCCGGGAGAGGUGAGUGGAACUGCGAGUGUAGAGGUGAAAUUCGUAGAUAUUCGCAAGAACACCAGUGGCGAAGGCGGCUCACUGGACCGGUAUUGACGCUGAGGUGCGAAAGCGUGGGGAGCAAACAGG